Molecule: long non-coding RNA, 2604 nt
Filed under: Paramuricea clavata
Lineage: Eukaryota; Metazoa; Cnidaria; Anthozoa; Malacalcyonacea; Plexauridae
Source: RNAcentral
GUUGUGGUAUGUCGUGUAUCGAAUGUCAGUGUGAAAUGUGUGAUUUGCAAAUUUUUUACUUUUUCGUUCGAGUAUAUUUCGACGAAGAAAAGCCUGCUUUUGACAGAUUUUCGUUAUAUUUUUUAUUGGACAAGUGACUCCGAACCUGCCAAAGGCUUAUUUGAUCUCAGGUAUGAAAAAUAAUUGUUUAUAUCAUCUAAUUACAACGUCCAUUCGUGGUUGUUGUUGCUGCUGCUAAAAUUUGAAUUUGCACGCGCGAGAAUUCGUACGUAGUUUUAUAUUGAAGUUAUUUCAUUUCAAUGCCGUCAAAUAUUAGUUAAAAUCAACAAUUCAAAUUUUGAAUAAACACAUUAUAGUAAAUACUGGGUUUUGCACUUGUUUGGCUUUCCCCAAAGCAUGUUUGAAACCACAUAGUAUAAAACUAUAUGUGAAUAUGAAUAAUGACAUGCAGUUGUCAUUAUUCAUAUUCACUUAGGUUGUCUGCAUCAAGCCUCGAAGUCAAAACAUGAAAAUUAUUUGUGAGUUUCAAUUUAUCAGGGCACAUUAUGUCUUAAAGGGUUAGUGCUGCCCACAAUAUGGUAAAAAGUAUAAACAGUAAAACUUUGCUAGCUUGAGCUUGAAGGAUUCCAAUCCAAACCCUUGUAGAGUUUACAUAUUGUAUGUUUAUGAUGUUAUGGUUUGUAAUCCAAGUGAGAAUAUAUACAUUUUAAGACCUAACCAGGAACGACUGCGAAAAAUGCAGUACAAGGUCCUUUGAUAGGAAUUGAACCCACAGCCCUGCGAUUCCGGUGCAGCACUCUAACCAACUGAUAUUAAUUCCAGCAAGUGGUGUGCAAGAAUCUAAGUUAUUCAAGUCCACCUUUACAUAUUGUAUGUGCCUGUUUACAUGUAUGUGAUAAUGGCAUGGCUGGACAGGAGGUUUUAAUCCAGUCUUGCUGAGAAACCUGGCUAAGCAAAAUAGACAGGAUACAUGCACCCCAUCUGGCAGGGAUGAUAGAGUGCUUACUGUAUAUGAGAAUUUCACGUCUUGGCAGGUAGGAUCCCGGCAACAAGUAAUGAGGUCUCACCUAAGCCAAAUAGAGGUAGAAUCAUUCAUUUUACUGUAAACACUCUAAAUAGAGUUCAUAUUGCAGGAGGGAUCAUAAAACUAGUAUUCUUUUUACAAGUGCUGACAUCUUGUAUUUUUGUUGCCAGCAUACCUAUUACAGCCAACUUACAGACAAGGGAAAGCUGCUUAAAAUUACUACAUGGUGAGUAUGAUUAUAGAGAUUCCUUAUAGGUAGAUUUUACCCUAGAAUAUUGACUUAGAUGAUUACUCAUUAGAGUGAGUGGAAGUCAAAGCUUUCCAUUCUGCACUCAAAAGCACAGUAUCAAAUGGGUCAUUUCAGAAAACAUCCAUACCGCCCCCACGGAGGAAAUAGGAAGUUAACCCCCUACCCCCUUCGGAUGUCCUAAUACAUUUACUAUUAUCAGAAACAAUUUUUUCUCCCCUCCCCCUCCGGACGGCAGAAAUUUCCUUCGUGGGGGGAGUAUGGAUCUUUUCUGGAACGACCCAAUAUGAAUACUGGGUUGAUGCCAAAUUAUUGUCUUCUGUCUAUCAAGACUCGAGUGGAGAGUGCUAAUGUAUUGAUGGUCAUUUAUAAGACAAAUCAUAAAUUAAUCUAGAGAGAGCUUUCUUUGUAUUACAUGCACAUUGGCUUUUUAUCACAUUUCUGGUAGCCAAUGCUGAAUGAACAAAAUCCAUGGAUUGAGUUGCAUUGCAUCUUGAUACACCCCGCUUUAUUAUUUUACCCUGUCUAAUGCCAGACGAUUUUACUUGUCAAGGGGAGAACACUGGUACUUAAUGGAUUAAAGACAAUAAAAUAGGGACGUAGGCACAUUAACCCAUUAAUCACCAGCACUCCCACUCACUAAUAUGUCUGGCAAUUGACAUUAGACAGGAAUACAAUAAAGUAGGAGUGCAAUGCAACUUCAUGGGUUAACAUUUUCCUGUGUGACCAUGAUUUCUGGGUAGUGAUGCACCAACUAAAUUGAAAUGUCAGUAAUUUGAUGUCAUCUUUGAAUUUUGUGUAACGACAUGGAAUAUCGGUGUCAGUAUCUGAAAAAUAUCAGUCUUUCAGUAUCGGUUAUCGGAAUAUCAGUGAACCUUACACGACUAUUUCUGGGUUAGCAUGUUACUAGCUAUAAUUUGGUAUAAGGUUGGAGCCAUAGUCAUAGUGAAUCAAAUUUUUCCUAUGAAAACAAAUAUUAAUUAAAUAAUCUAUCUGUAAUUAUUCAUUAUGUAGGAUGGAGUUUACAAUGCGAUAAAGAAUCUUUGAACAUGGUAGAUGCUUACUAAAAUGCAAGGGUGAUGUUGUCGGUACUGUACAGUAUUUGCGAUCUAAUAUGCUACUGGCUCAUUCCUGAUUCCAGAAAACAUUCAUGGUUUUACCUCAGUUUACUUGUUUAACCCAUUAUGUGACAGCACUGGCAAGUAAAACAAUAAGACAUUAUGAUAUUCAUAUAUACAGUAAAUGUGUUGCUGUGCAUGCAUAUUUUACACAUAAUUUUUUGUAGUGACUAGUGGUGGGUAUUGUCACACCAAAGUGCCCAGCACCUUGUAAA